UCCGGUUUGUCACCGGCGGUCUCCUUAGAGUUCCCACCAUUACGUGCUGGCAACUAAGGACAAGGGAUGCGCUCGUUGCGGGACUUAACCCAACAUCUCACGACACGAGCUGACGACAGCCAUGCAGCACCUGUGUCGGCUCCUCUUGCGAGGUCGGUCCCCUUUCGGUUCCCUACCACCGACAUGUCAAACCCAGGUAAGGUUCUUCGCGUUGCCUCGAAUUAAACCACAUGCUCCACCGCUUGUGCGGGCCCCCGUCAAUUCCUUUGAGUUUCAGCCUUGCGGCCGUACUCCCCAGGCGGGGCACUUACUGCGUUAGCGACGACACUCAGGGGGUCGCUCCCCCAAGCAUCUAGUGCCCAUCGUUUACGGCGUGGACUAC
Molecule: unclassified non-coding RNA, 382 nt
Filed under: uncultured bacterium
Lineage: Bacteria
Description: contains 16S-23S intergenic spacer region
Source: RNAcentral